RNAcentral lists this ribosomal RNA (601 nucleotides) under Brevundimonas diminuta ATCC 11568. Its description in RNAcentral is "bacterial SSU rRNA". It matches the Rfam family "Bacterial small subunit ribosomal RNA", at positions 99 to 735 of the family's 1533-position model. The record is from RNAcentral. Lineage: Bacteria; Pseudomonadati; Pseudomonadota; Alphaproteobacteria; Caulobacterales; Caulobacteraceae.
CGGACGGGUGAGUAACACGUGGGAACGUGCCUUUAGGUUCGGAAUAGCUCCUGGAAACGGGUGGUAAUGCCGAAUGUGCCCUUCGGGGGAAAGAUUUAUCGCCUUUAGAGCGGCCCGCGUCUGAUUAGCUAGUUGGUGAGGUAACGGCUCACCAAGGCGACGAUCAGUAGCUGGUCUGAGAGGAUGACCAGCCACACUGGGACUGAGACACGGCCCAGACUCCUACGGGAGGCAGCAGUGGGGAAUCUUGCGCAAUGGGCGAAAGCCUGACGCAGCCAUGCCGCGUGAAUGAUGAAGGUCUUAGGAUUGUAAAAUUCUUUCACCGGGGACGAUAAUGACGGUACCCGGAGAAGAAGCCCCGGCUAACUUCGUGCCAGCAGCCGCGGUAAUACGAAGGGGGCUAGCGUUGCUCGGAAUUACUGGGCGUAAAGGGCGCGUAGGCGGAUCGUUAAGUCAGAGGUGAAAUCCCAGGGCUCAACCCUGGAACUGCCUUUGAUACUGGCGAUCUUGAGUAUGAGAGAGGUAUGUGGAACUCCGAGUGUAGAGGUGAAAUUCGUAGAUAUUCGGAAGAACACCAGUGGCGAAGGCGACAUACUGGCUC